This 440-nucleotide ribosomal RNA is filed under the name uncultured bacterium. RNAcentral describes it as "partial 16S ribosomal RNA". It matches the Rfam family "Bacterial small subunit ribosomal RNA", at positions 338 to 795 of the family's 1533-position model. The record is from RNAcentral.
CCUACGGGUGGCUGCAGUGGGGGAUAUUGCACAAUGGGGGGAACCCUGAUGCAGCGACGCCGCGUGGGUGAAGAAGGGCCUCGGGGCGUAAAGCCCUGUCAGCAGGGAAGAAAAUGACGGUACCUGAAGAAGAAGCCACGGCUAACGACGUGCCAGCAGCCGCGGAAAUACGUAGGGGGAAAGCGUUAUCCGGAUUUCCUGGGUGUAAAGGGGGCGCAGACGGCGAUGCACGCCCGGAGUGAAAGCCCGGGACCCAACCCCGGGCCUGCUCUUGGAACUGCGUGGCUGGAGUGCAGGAGGGGCAGGCGGAAUUCCUGGUGUAGCGGUGAAAUGCGUAGCUAUCAGGCGGAACACCGGUGGCGAAGGCGGCCUGCUGGACUGCAACUGACGUUGCGGCCCGAUCGCGUGGGGAGCAAACAGGAUUAGAUACCCGGGUAGUC